CCUACGGGGGGCAGCAGUGGGGAAUAUUGGACAAUGGGCGAAAGCCUGAUCCAGCCAUGCCGCGUGUGUGAAGAAGGCCUUCGGGUUGUAAAGCACUUUCAGUGGGGAAGAAAGCCUUGGGGCUAAUACCCUCGAGGAAGGACAUCACCCACAGAAGAAGCACCGGCUAACUCCGUGCCAGCAGCCGCGGUAAUACGGAGGGUGCGAGCGUUAAUCGGAAUUACUGGGCGUAAAGCGCGCGUAGGCGGUCUGAUAAGCCGGUUGUGAAAGCCCCGGGCUCAACCUGGGAACGGCAUCCGGAACUGUCAGGCUAGAGUGCAGGAGAGGAAGGAAGAAUUCCCGGUGUAGCGGUGAAAUGCGUAGAGAUCGGGAGGAAUACCAGUGGCGAAGGCGGCCUUCUGGACUGACACUGACGCUGAGGUGCGAAAGCGUGGGUAGCAAACAGGAUUAGAUACCCGAGUAGUC
RNAcentral lists this ribosomal RNA (465 nucleotides) under Vreelandella stevensii. RNAcentral's name for it is "partial 16S ribosomal RNA". It matches the Rfam family "Bacterial small subunit ribosomal RNA", at positions 338 to 795 of the family's 1533-position model. The record is from RNAcentral. Lineage: Bacteria; Pseudomonadati; Pseudomonadota; Gammaproteobacteria; Oceanospirillales; Halomonadaceae.